CUGCCAGGUGGCGGGCGGCCGCGGCCUGGUUCUCGUCCAGGCCCUGGUAGUCGCUGCGACGGUUCUGUUCGGCCUGGUCGUC
RNAcentral lists this transfer RNA (82 nucleotides) under Actinomadura citrea. RNAcentral's name for it is "tRNA-Glu". The record is from RNAcentral. Lineage: Bacteria; Bacillati; Actinomycetota; Actinomycetes; Streptosporangiales; Thermomonosporaceae.